GGGAGCGGGCUUGCUCGCGAAUGCAGUGCGUCAGUAGGUACAUCCUUGACUGAUACACCACAUUCGCGAGCAAGCCCGCUCCU
RNAcentral lists this unclassified non-coding RNA (83 nucleotides) under Pseudomonas poae. Lineage: Bacteria; Pseudomonadati; Pseudomonadota; Gammaproteobacteria; Pseudomonadales; Pseudomonadaceae. The record is from RNAcentral.